Molecule: ribosomal RNA, 429 nt
Filed under: Chloroflexota bacterium
Lineage: Bacteria; Bacillati; Chloroflexota
Description: Chloroflexi bacterium partial 16S ribosomal RNA
Rfam family: Bacterial small subunit ribosomal RNA
Source: RNAcentral
UGGGGAAUAUUGCACAAUGGGCGCAAGCCUGAUGCAGCCAUGCCGCGUGUAUGAAGAAGGCCUUCGGGUUGUAAAGUACUUUCAGCGGGGAGGAAGGGAGUAAAGUUAAUACCUUUGCUCAUUGACGCUACCCGCAGAAGAAGCACCGGCUAACUCCGUGCCAGCAGCCGCGGUAAUACGGAGGGUGCAAGCGUUUACCGGAAUUACUGGGCGUAAAGCGCAUGCAGGCGGUUUGUUAAGUCAGAUGUGAAAUCAACGGGCUCAACCUGGGAGCUGCAACUGAUACUGGCAAGCUUGAGUCUCGUAGAGGAGGGUAGAAUUCCAAGUGUAGCGAUGAAAUGCGUAGAGAUCUGGAGGAAUACCGGUGGCGAAGGCGGCCCCCUGGACGAAGACUGACGCUCAGGUGCGAAAGCGUGGGGAGCAAAAAGG